This 1585-nucleotide ribosomal RNA is filed under the name human gut metagenome. Its description in RNAcentral is "bacterial LSU rRNA". It matches the Rfam family "Bacterial large subunit ribosomal RNA", at positions 828 to 2488 of the family's 2925-position model. The record is from RNAcentral.
UCCAAUCGAACUCGGAGAUAGCUGGUUCUCCCCGAAAUAGCUUUAGGGCUAGCGUUAUUUUAGAUUACCGGAGGUAAAGCACUGAAUGGUCUAGGGGCCGCGAGGUUACCAAAGCCUAUCAAACUCUGAAUGCCGGAUAAUUGAUGAAUAGCAGUCAGACUGUGUGAGAUAAGUCUCAUAGUCAAAAGGGAAACAGCCCAGAUCUACAGCUAAGGUCCCAAAUGAACACUAAGUGGAAAAUGAUGUGAAACUGCGAAGACAACCAGGAUGUUGGCUUAGAAGCAGCCACUCAUUCAAAGAGUGCGUAAUAGCUCACUGGUCGAGUGGUUUUGCGCAGAAAAUGUAACGGGGCUAAGUGUUCAACCGAAGCUUAGGCAUUGCAGUAAUGCAUUGGGUAGGGGAGCGUCGUAUGCGGGGUGAAGUCAGAGCGGAAGCACUGGUGGACUGCAUACGAGUGAGAAUGCCGGAAUAAGUAGCGAGAAUUAUGUGAGAAUCAUAAUGGCCGAAAAUCUAAGGUUUCUUGGGGAAGGUUCGUCCGCCCAAGGUUAGUCGGGAGCUAAGCUCAGGCCGAAAGGCGUAGGCGAUGCACAUACGGUAGAAAUUCCGUAACCACCGAACAUUUAAGCUAGAGGGACGCUUUCUUUAAGGUUAUCCCGGGCGAUGGUUGCCCCGGGCGUAAGGGACCGAAAUAUAGUAGGGAAGUAACUGGCGAGAGAGACGAGAAAAGCUCUAGUGUAUACUAAGGUGCCCGUACCGCAAACCGACACAGGUAGAUGGGAUGAGUAUUCUAAGGCCAACGGGAGAAGGGUUGUUAAGGAACUCGGCAAAUUGGCCCCGUAACUUCGGGAUAAGGGGCGCCUGCGAGAGCAGGCCGCAGUGAAAAGGCCCAAGCGACUGUUUAGCAAAAACACAGCUCUCUGCUAAAUCGAAAGAUGACGUAUAGGGGGUGACGCCUGCCCGGUGCUGGAAGGUUAAGGGGAGUGCUUAGCGCAAGCGAAGGUGCGAACUUAAGCCCCAGUAAACGGCGGCCGUAACUAUAACGGUCCUAAGGUAGCGAAAUUCCUUGUCAGGUAAGUUCUGACCCGCACGAAUGGCGUAACGAUUUGGGCACUGUCUCAACAGCCCGCCCGGCGAAAUUGUAGUACCGGUGAAGAUGCCGGUUUCCCGCAACUAGACGGAAAGACCCCAUGGAGCUUCACUGUAGCUUGAUAUUGGAUCUCGGUAUUCCAUGUACAGGAUAGGUGGGAGACUUGGAAGUAAGCGCGCCAGCGUUUAUGGAGUCAACCUUGGGAUACCACUCUUGGGAUAUUGGGAUUCUAACCUGCGACCAUGAAUCUGGUCGGGGGACACUGUCAGGUGGGCAGUUUGACUGGGGCGGUCGCCUCCAAAAGAGUAACGGAGGCGCUCAAAGGUUCGUUCAGCACGGAUGGAAAUCGUGCACUGAGUGUAAACGCAUAAACGAGCCUAACUGCGAGAAUGACGGUUCGAGCAGUAACGAAAGUUGGAGUUAGUGAUCCGGCGGUAUGUGAAUGGAAAUGCCGUCGCUCAACGGAUAAAAGCUACCCUGGGGAUAACAGGCUGAUCU